Molecule: ribosomal RNA, 274 nt
Filed under: uncultured bacterium
Lineage: Bacteria
Description: partial 16S ribosomal RNA
Rfam family: Bacterial small subunit ribosomal RNA
Source: RNAcentral
AUACGGAGGGGGUUAGCGUUGUUCGGAAUUACUGGGCGUAAAGCGUACGUAGGCGGACUGGAAAGUUGGGGGUGAAAUCCCGGGGCUCAACCCCGGAACUGCCUCCAAAACUUCCAAUCUAGAGAUCGAGAGAGGUGAGUGGAAUUCCAAGUGUAGAGGUGAAAUUCGUAGAUAUUUGUAGGAACACCAGUGGCGAAGGCGGCUCACUGGCUCGAUACUGACGCUGAGGUACGAAAGCGUGGGGAGCAAACAGGAUUAGAAACCCUAGUAGUCC